This 744-nucleotide ribosomal RNA is filed under the name Amplirhagada fitzpatricki. RNAcentral's name for it is "partial 16S ribosomal RNA". It matches the Rfam family "Archaeal large subunit ribosomal RNA", at positions 788 to 2685 of the family's 2987-position model. Lineage: Eukaryota; Metazoa; Mollusca; Gastropoda; Stylommatophora; Camaenidae. The record is from RNAcentral.
CACGAAACCAGGCGAGCUACUACAAAACGUAUAAUAGUACAAAAUAUGUGGCAUAAUAAUAGUAGAUUUUGCAGUAGGGGUGAUAGGCUAUCCAAGUUUGGUGAUAUCUUGUUGACCUUGAAAUAUAUUGAGUAUAUUUUCAGUUUACUAGUGAUAAGGCUGGUAGAGAAUAUGUAAUUCGAUUUAUUCAUGUAAGCAAAGUUUAACCGCUCACUGGUUGUUAAAUCCAAUAUUUAUGUCUGUCUUUAAUAAAUCAUAAAGGUCAGUAUUUAAUUAAUCUUAAUAUUUAUAUUGUAGGCAUAAGUAGCUUAGGCACUGUUGAUGAACUCGGCAACAUUUCUUUCACCUGUUUAUCAAAAACACCGCCAGUAGGAGGUAUUAUUGGUUAAUUCUGCUCCAUGUAAUCAUAAAUAGCCGCAGUACCCUGACUGUGCAAAGGUAGCAUAAUCAUUUGGCUUAUAAUUGAAGUCUGGCAUGAAAGAAUACAUGGGGGAAAACUCUAUUGACAGCGCUAUUACGAAAUUGCUUAGUGGGUGCAAAUACCCAUCUUUAAAUAAUAGACGAGAAGACCCUUGAAAUUUUAAUGAUGUGUUUAGGAGAGUUUUUGUUGGGGCAACAACGUAACAUUUAACCUACGGUUAUUUACACGACAUUCUGUGGAAAGAUUAAAUUACUCUAGGGAUAACAGCGUAAUUCUUAAGAGUUUGCGACCUCGAUGUUGGACUAGGAAGCAAUUGUUUAGAA